Molecule: ribosomal RNA, 752 nt
Filed under: uncultured bacterium
Lineage: Bacteria
Description: bacterial SSU rRNA
Rfam family: Bacterial small subunit ribosomal RNA
Source: RNAcentral
AGAGUUUGAUCCUGGCUCAGAGUGAACGCUGGCGGUAGGCCUAACACAUGCAAGUCGAACGGCAGCACAGUAAGAGCUUGCUCUUACGGGUGGCGAGUGGCGGACGGGUGAGGAAUACAUCGGAAUCUACUUUUUCGUGGGGGAUAACGUAGGGAAACUUACGCUAAUACCGCAUACGACCUACGGGUGAAAGCAGGGGAUCUUCGGACCUUGCGCGAUUGAAUGAGCCGAUGUCGGAUUAGCUAGUUGGCGGGGUAAAGGCCCACCAAGGCGACGAUCCGUAGCUGGUCUGAGAGGAUGAUCAGCCACACUGGAACUGAGACACGGUCCAGACUCCUACGGGAGGCAGCAGUGGGGAAUAUUGGACAAUGGGCGCAAGCCUGAUCCAGCCAUACCGCGUGGGUGAAGAAGGCCUUCGGGUUGUAAAGCCCUUUUGUUGGGAAAGAAAUCCAGCUGGUUAAUACCCGGUUGGGAUGACGGUACCCAAAGAAUAAGCACCGGCUAACUUCGUGCCAGCAGCCGCGGUAAUACGAAGGGUGCAAGCGUUACUCGGAAUUACUGGGCGUAAAGCGUGCAUAGGUGGUUGUUUAAGUCUGUUGUGAAAGCCCUGGGCUCAACCUGGGAACUGCAGUGGAAACUGGACGACUAGAGUGUGGUAGAGGGUAGCGGAAUUCCUGGUGUUGCAGUGAAAUGCGUAGAGAUCAGGAGGAACAUCCAUGGCGAAGGCAGCUACCUGGACCAACACUGACACU